Molecule: long non-coding RNA, 1485 nt
Organism: Mustela erminea (ermine)
Lineage: Eukaryota; Metazoa; Chordata; Mammalia; Carnivora; Mustelidae
Exons: 4
Source: RefSeq, a predicted model, not a curated record
CUCAAGACCUCUAGAACCCCAGCGCGGGCGCCUGCCCCUCUCCCAGUGCCCACCACGCCCAGCCUCGUGCCUGCUGCUCCACACUGUCGACUACGUAUGGUCCCUGCCCAGGUCCAGCUCCUCUGUCCGUCCUGUCCUCACUCCUGUUGUCAUCAAACUCCUACGACACUUUAAGACUUGGUGCAGGCACCACCUCCUCCAGGAAGCCUUCCCUAAGCCACCAUCCAGCUCAAAGACCCUUCCACGGCUCCCUGGUGCCUGUGGCAAGCCCAGCCUUCUUUGGCCUCUCCUCUACGGACCACCUUGCCAGCCUGUGCCCUCAGAACCUCCGAGCAGCGGCCUGGGCCCGGCCGCAGGAGGGUGACUCCCCACUCUGGUGAAGCAAUUAAGGACAUUUUCAAGUGCUGAGUGGCUGCCGGGAGGCAGCUUUGACCAGGCCCCGACAGAGGAGAGGAGGAAACAGAGGUUCAAUAACAUUUCAGAGAUGCAGCUGGGAUCGGAAGGUAGCUCUGAGUCCACAACCACUUCAUCUGUUGUCUCUUGGAGAUGGGUAUGGGCUGUCAGAGUGCCCAGGGUCACUGAGGAAGGCGGGCGGGUCAGGGGAAGACUCUGGAGAUGCCACAUGAGCUUGGGAUCUGCUGAAGAACACGGGCUCUCCACAUGCGGAGGGGGUGGGGGGCUGGUGGCAAAGGGUGUCGCAGGCGGAGGGGGCAGCCUGUGCACACGCACCGAGGUGUGAGACGGCAUGGUAUGUGUAUGGGAGCUACAGAUAGUUCAGGGUCACUGGAGCAUGAAGUUCGAGGCUGGGGAGGCAUGUGGGGUCUGGGUCACCGGAAGUCAGGAGGACCUGGUCCAAGCUCCUCAUUUUAUCACUAGAGAAUGCACAACCCAGAGGACAACAGUGACUUGCCUCGAGUCACAUGGCCCAGUUAGCGGCUGAUGGAGCCUGGGUUACAGCCCAGGAAUCCCGACGCCCAGGCUGGAAGGGAAGCUAGAGGGUAGAGGAGCGGAGGCUGUCAGAUUACUGGUUUCCUACUUCCCACCCUUGCCGGCUUACCUCUCCACUUGCCUCUGGCUGCAAUCUGUUCUCAACAUCGCAGCCAGAGGGAUCCUGCCGAACAGGAAUCAGCGGUGUGGUGCUCCUCUGCUCAAAGGUCUUUAACAGCUCCCACCUCAGAGUGAAAAAACAACAGCCUACAAAGCCCCCUUUGCCUCUCCGGUUAAAUUUAUCCAUGGUAUUUUAUUCUUUUUGAUGUAACUGCAUCCCCCUCCCCUCUCUGAACUCACCUCCUACUGCUUUUCCUCUUGCGUCUUACUCCACUCUGGCCCUCUGGCUAUUCUGGAGCCCAUCUCACCCCAGGGCCUUUGCACGUGCUGUUUCCGCUGCCUGAUUCAAAUCCUAGCUCAGCUACUACUUCACUAUGUCCCUCUCUGAGCCUCACAUCCCUCAUCUAUAAUUGGGGUUAAUGCUGCCCACCCCGCCUU